CUUUACCUGUAAUGUCCACUUCUGAAGCCACAACAUACACUACAACUGGUAAGUUCCUGAUAAAACAUUUUCAGGUUAUUACAUUAUUCUUAAAUUAGAAAAACAAUUCCCUUCUGAAAAAUGAUUCCCAUUGCCAUUUUUAUUUUAAUAUUUGUAAAACUAAAACAAACCUUAAAAUGUCCUCCUCUCAUGAUCAUAUCAUGCUGCAUAUUAAUAAAAUAAUAAUAAGAAUAAACAACUACACAUAAUGCAUCGGAUUUUGUGCAAUUAAAUGUAUUCCCUUAAUUUAAUAUAAACUGUAAUAUAAAAUGGAUUAAAUUAUUUUUUUCUUUUGAUAGAUCCAUUGCUUUAUUUCUGUCUGGACUCAUAGGAUUCAUCUGUCUGUACCGCUUGACCAGUUCUGCUGAUGUUCUCACAGAACUGAACUUGACCUCCUGCCAGAUGGAAACAACAUCUCUUUUAACUUCCUCUGUGUGCUCCUCAAAACAUGAAUGACCUGUUUAUGUUCUUCACUGCAUAUUAAAUCUAAUUUCUAUAGCCUAGUUUUUACUGCAUAUUAAAUCUAAUUUCUAUAGCCUAGUUUUUACACUUUUUUUAAUCAGCUAGUUUAAUAUACACGCACAUGCAAGUUCUAACAAAAAAGUUUAUAUUUUCACUGCAAUUGUUAUAGUCUGUCAAACAGUUGUCUGACCAAUAAACAAAUUAAUCAUUUGUGUGCUUUUAUAAUUUCCAUAUUAUUAAAUUUGAUAUCAUAAUCUAAUCUAUGUUCAAGUCUAAUAGUAGUAUUUUUGGCAUAUUUAAAUGUUACUUUUUAAAAAUUACCUUCUGUCUUCAGUAUAUGAGUUUGAGCACAAAAUGUGCCCCAGAUCUGCCUUCUGUUAACAUGAAUUUGAGUUGUACAUGUGAUCACAUGAUCUACAUUUAUAGAACUGACUGCACAAUGGAUAAAAAUGGUUUUCUGUGGUCUGAUGCCCUACUUCCUAAUUCCUCAAUUGUAUGUGUCGUUGCUUUUCUGACAUUCGCUGUAAUGGAGUUGAUCGUUUUCAUAGUGAUUCAGCUCCUGAUGGAGGUUCAGUCCUACACAUCUCCUAGUGUAAAAGUAUCUCCAGAUGUCAUAAGAGAGUCCAGCUCAGUGAAGAUCAGCUGUGAGACACCAGCAGAUGUUCCUGUGAAUCAGUGUUACUUCUACAUAAACAGUGAGGAGAAGAAUGUAAAACCCAGUUGGAGAUGUGAGCUGGAUCUCACUGGUGCUGAAGUGUUCAGAUGGGCAGCUAUAAAAUCACCUGGAUCACUCAACAUUAUCUGUUACUACACAAUACAGGGGAUUGAUAAAACAUUCAAUCAUUCUCCUCCUGCCACAGUGACGGUUCGAGCUUUACCUGUAAUGUCCACUUCUGAAGCCACAACAUACACUACAACUGUUACCAUUACAAACUCCACUUUGCCUGGGGACAUUAGAAUAUCAGAACAUAUUUCAACAGAAACAUCCACUCAAAAAGAUUCGCAAAUAGACACAUCAACAAUGGCUGUCACUUUCACAACAGCAUCACCCAGAACAGUGACCUCUACUGGAGAAGCUUUGGCAACAACCACACAAACUGUUUCAACAGAAACAUCCACUCAGAAAGAUUCGCAAAUAGACACAUUUUCAGCAACAAUAGCUGUCACUUUCACAACAGCAUCACCCAGAACAGGCACAUGGUUUAUAGUGCUGGUUUCCAUUGGUGUUGCUGUAUUCUUGUCUGGACUCACGGGACUCAUCUGUCUGUGCUGGUUUGCAAGUAAGUUUAGAAAUGUACAUUCUUUGGGCCUCAUUCAUCAAUCUUUCAUAAACAUAUAAGUACAUUCAGAGUAAUUGGUGUGUAAAAAAAUCAUCCUUCGGAUUCACAAACGUGUGUAUCUAAAUAAAUUUGAAUCAUUUGUAAAUGGUGUGCA
Long non-coding RNA from Cyprinus carpio (common carp), 1935 nucleotides. The record is from Ensembl. NCBI's taxonomy places the organism in Eukaryota, Metazoa, Chordata, Actinopteri, Cypriniformes, Cyprinidae.